GCCCUCUCAACUUUGUGUCUCCAUCACUACGGCGCUACCCAGCAGCUUCCGCUUACUUUCCUUUCUCUCUUCACAGAGAGUUUCUAAAACCUACUCAUUAGCCUCAUCAUCAUCGGGCCACCAUCAGCAGCAUGUAGAAGCCCCCACCAUCGCCGAACUCUCUCCUCGGCCAGAGGGUACCGUCGGUGCCGCCAUUGUGACAGACAGCGGGUGUCGUCUUGCCGCCGAACGUAUCUUCCACUCACCUUCUUCUCCUCGUCAUGAAAUCUUUGCUCAUAGCUCUUCUCUCGGCCUCGCAGAUUGCUCCUGCUCGGCCCUCGUCGCCUCAUCGUAGCAAACUUUGUGCCUGGCUGUCUCUCUGUUCUAGCUCUCUCUCUAUGUCUUCGAGGUUACUCUGUCUCACCACGAGCUCACUGUCACCUCUAUUAUUUCGAUCUCACUCUGUCAACAUCGUGUCGUCAUUCAUCCCUCGCUGUCUCUCCGCACAUAGAUACACUUCUUCAAACUUCAAACAUAUGGCAUCCGCCUUUUCUUCCACUUCAAUCCCACUACCACCACCACCACCACCACCACGAUCAUGCACCUAUCACGUGUUCUUGAGUUUCAGAGGAAAAGACAUCCGUACAGGCUUCAUUGGCCAUCUCUAUGCGGCUCUCAACAGGAAGGGAAUCACAACCUACAAAGAUGACAAAAACCUUCGCAAAGGCCAUGUUAUUUCAAAAGAACUCCUCAAAGCAAUUGAAGAGUCCAUGUUUGCAGUCAUUGUUUUCUCACCGGACUACGCUUCCUCCAGUUGGUGCUUGGAUGAGCUCCAAAAGAUCAUUGAGUGUAAGAACCAGCUGGGGUUACAAAUGCUGGCAGUGUUCUACGGUGUGGAGCCUAGUGAUGUGAGGCACCAAAGAAGAACCUUUGAGGAAGCUUUCAAGAAACACGAAGAGAGACAUGACAGUGAGAAGGUCAAAAGAUGGAGAGAUGCGCUAACACAAGUUGCUGCUCAUUCUGCUUGGACCUCCAAAAUAUAUGAGGACGAAGCAGUACUUGUGGAAAAUAUUGCUCAACAUAUAUUUGAAAUAUUGAUUCCUAAGUUGCCAUCUUCAAUGAAGAAUCUUGUGGGGAUUAAUUCAAGAGUGGAACAAGUGAUUACUCAAAUAGGCCUUGGAUUGAAUGAUGUUCGCUAUAUAGGCAUAUGGGGAAUGGGCGGCAUAGGUAAGACCACUAUUGCUAGAGCUGUCUUUGAAACCAUUCGAUUUAGAUUUGAAGUUACUUGCUUUCUUGCCGAUGUAAGGGAGAACUGUGAGAAAAAAGAUAUUACUCACAUGCAAAAACAACUUCUUGAUCAAAUGAAUAUAAGUUCAAAUGCUGUUUAUAACAAGUAUGAUGGGAGGACAAUAAUUCAAAACUCUUUACGUCUCAAAAAGGUACUUCUUGUUCUUGAUGAUGUAAAUCAUGAAAAACAAUUAGAGGAUUUGGCUGGGGAGCAAGAUUGGUUUGGUCCUGGAAGCAGAAUAAUAAUUACAACUAGAGACGUAGAGGCGCUAAAGGGACCAGAGGUGCAUGAAACUUAUAACGUUGAAGGGUUAGUGGAAAGUGAAGCCCUUAACCUCUUUUGUUUGAAAGCCUUUAAACAGCAGAAGCCUACAGAAGGGUUUUUGGAUUUGUCCAAAGAAGUAGUCAAAUAUAGCGGUGGUCUCCCAUUGGCACUUAAAGUAUUGGGUUCCUAUCUUAAUGGUAGACGUACUAUUGCGGUUUGGUAUAGUGCUAUUGAAAGAAUAAAGAAGACUUCACAUUCUAAAAUUAUUGAUGUAUUGAAAAUAAGCUAUGAGGGUUUAGAAGAUACAGAAAAGGAUAUUUUUCUAGAUAUUGCUUGUUUCUUUAAAGGGAAUAAAAAAGAAUAUGUAACAAAGAUAUUAGAAGGAUGUGGUUAUCAGGCUGACAUUGGUCUUGAUAUUUUGAUUAACAGAUCAUUGAUCACUAUAAAUAAAUAUGAUCAAUUGGGGAUGCAUGAUCUGCUUGAAGAAAUGGGCAAACAAAUUGUAAUUAAAGAAUCUCCAAAUGAUGCUAGUAAGCAUAGCAGAUUGUGGUGUUUGGAGGAUGUUGAAUUUGUACUUACUCAAAAGAAGAAAACUAAAGCAACUCAUGGCAUCGUUGUAAGUAAGUGGUGGUAUAGCAAGACUGAAGUGAUUCAGAGAGAUUUAUCUUUCUCAAAAAUGUGCCAGUUAAAGCUUCUCAUUUUAGAUGGUGUAGAAGCUCCCAUUCUCUGCGAUAUUCCUUGUACAUUAAAGGUAUUUCGCUGGAGAUAUUGUCCACUGGAAACUCUGCCCCUUACAGAUCAUCAACGCUAUGAGCUUGUUGAAAUUAAUCUGUCUGGUAGCAAAAUUGUAAAGUUAUGGGAUGGAAAGAAGGUUCUAGAAAAGUUAGAGCACUUAGAUCUGUCAGGGUGCCAGCAGCUGAAGCAAACACCAGAUCUUUCUGGGGCUCCCAAUCUUAAAAAACUUAAUCUUUGGGGAUGCAAGAAGCUGGAUUAUAUUCACCCGUCUCUCACCCACCACAAGAGGCUUGUUGAAUUGAAUUUAAGGGGAUGUAGGAGUCUUGAAACACUUGGAGAUAAAUUGGAGAUGAGUUCACUCGAGAGACUAGAUCUAUACUCCUGCAGUAGUUUGAAGAGACUGCCAGAAUUUGGGGAAUGCAUGAAACAGUUAUCGAUUCUUAAUCUGACACUUACAGGUAUAGAAGAGCUACCCCCAACGCUUGGAAAUUUGGCUGGCGUGUCUGAAUUGGACUUAACUGGAUGCAGCAAGAUUACUGGUCUUCUCUUAUCACUUUCACUAGGAUGUUUCGUUGGCCUAAAAAAAUUGGUGUUAUGUAGUCUUCCACAGAAAACUGAUUAUGAUGAUUCUGACAGCUCAUCUAGAGAAGAGUCGACCCUUUCCUAUGAUAUUGCCCACUUAGCGUCGUUGAUGGAUUUGGUUUUAUCUCGUAACAGUUUUUUAAGAGUUCCAAUAAGUAUCCAUCAACUUCCCAGACUUACACGUCUAAAGCUAUCUUUUUGCUGGGAAUUGGAGGUUUUACCAGAGCUUCCAUCAAGUCUAAGAGAAUUAGAUGCACAGGGUUGUUAUUCACUGGAUGCAUCAAAUGUUGAUGAUGUCAUAUCAAAGGCGUGUUGUGGCUUUGCAGAAUCAGCUAGCCAAGAUCGUGAAGACUUCUUGCAAAUGUUGAUCACAGGGGAGGAAAUUCCAGCAUGGUUUGAGCAUCAGGAACAAGAUAACGGAGUAUCACUCUCAUUCCCACUUAAUUGCCCUUCAACUGAAAUGGUCGCACUUGCUCUCUGUUUCCUAGUUAUCCAAGAUAUCCAAGGAUUACAGCCUUCGGUGAUCUGCAACGGGAAAGAAUUCAUCAACACGAGUUUAGAGGUGUGGGAUAGUUCAGAUAAUUUGUUUAUUGUGUGUGUGAACAGUUACUAUUUUAGUAAGCUGUUAUGCCAACAAAAUCGCUUCCAAAUGUUAUUUCCAGAUCGUGACUAUCUUCUUAUCCAAGUAAAGAGAAGUGGAGCACGUUGGUUGUUCAAGCAAGACAUUCAAGAUUUCAAGAAAAGAAAAUAUGAAACAGGGAAAAGAAAAGCAACUCUUGAAGACUUGAACUGAACAUAGACAUGAUUUCACAUUCUUCAGCUUCUAGAAAUAAGAUGCUCUUGGUUGACACUCCAGUGUAUGAACAAGAGUUAGAGCCAGCCGCCACAGCGGAGGGCUCUAUUCCCCAUUUGGCAUCUCGCAAAAGCUCUCACCCACCUCAUAGCUCAUGACACACCUCUCAAUAUGUUACAUGUAUCAUUGCCAAGCUUAGAUAUCCUCAGCUAAAUGGUUCCCCAGAUCUGAAGCUUUUGACACAGCUCAUUGCAUCCAUCCAGAAAGAAAUUGUCUUGGGGAUUUGAUAAAUCAGUGGUGUUUAAUUUAUCUGUUAGACAUGAUAAUCGAUGCAUCAUCCCUUGGAGAACAUAUAGAAUGUGCAAAGGUUAUCACCUUUACAUUCUCUGCUUGACCAAUGAUUACUUCAAUGAUGAAUCUUGCCGAGAUCUCAGGUUUUAAACUUUAAACUUUUGAUUCAGCCCCAGGAACAGGUCAGCCAAGGUGAACCUGAAGAUUUUUCUGAUUAACCUUUUUUUCAUGCCAAAAUAUUAAGCACUGGCUGGGUGCCUAUUGAGGAUAUCGUAGAUUUGAGCAAAAGUAAGAUGGAAAGGCAAAGGCGUGAAGGGGAAAGUGUUUGACAAAUAUAUUUGCAGAUGUGAUUGAAGUGAACAACUUUAGUAGAGAAGAAAGUUAUGUCCAUUUGCCGGGAGCUCAAUUUAAUUUUGUUAGAAAAAUGUAUCUUGAGAGGUAAUAACAUUUUCACAUUUUUUUAAAUAGUUUUUGAAGGAGCUGGAGUACAUCACUAUUAGUUUCCCCUGGAACUCAAGUGAUCUCAAUUUUUGGCUCUGGAAACUUGAAACAUCAAUUUUUAAAGAUUAUGGAAACCUUAGCAAGGCGAAAAUUCAGUCUAUGUCAAUAUCCAUCUGGUGUUGUGUAAAUUUGAGUUUGAUGUAACCAUGUAUGGGACUAUUUGGAUUCAUAAAUAGUGAAAUUGUUUGUAUGCUAAUAUUCUAAAAAAAUGAUAUGGAAGUA
RNA transcript from Arachis stenosperma, 4655 nucleotides. It is a transcript of the gene named TMV resistance protein N-like, with no coding region annotated. The transcript is spliced from 6 exons. Lineage: Eukaryota; Viridiplantae; Streptophyta; Magnoliopsida; Fabales; Fabaceae. The record is from RefSeq and is a predicted model, not a curated record.